GAUGAAGAACGUAGCGAAAUGCGAUAAGUAGUGUGAAUUGCAGAAUUCAGUGAAUCAUCGAAUCUUUGAACGCACAUUGCGCCCUUUGGUAUUCCAAAGGGCAUGCCUGUUCGAGCGUCAUUUGUACCCUCAAGCUUUGCUUGGUGUUGGGCGUCUUGUCUCUAGCUUUGCUGGAGACUCGCCUUAAAGUAAUUGGCAGCCGGCCUACUGGUUUCGGAGCGCAGCACAAGUCGCACUCUCUAUCAGCAAAGGUCUAGCAUCCAUUAAGCCUUUUUUUCAACUUUUGACCUCGGAUCAGGUAGGGACACCCGCUGAACUAAAGCAUAUCAAUAAGCGGAGGA
Molecule: unclassified non-coding RNA, 341 nt
Filed under: soil metagenome
Description: partial contains 5.8S ribosomal RNA, internal transcribed spacer 2, and large subunit ribosomal RNA
Rfam family: 5.8S ribosomal RNA (bases 1-120)
Source: RNAcentral